RNAcentral lists this ribosomal RNA (499 nucleotides) under uncultured bacterium. RNAcentral's name for it is "bacterial SSU rRNA". It matches the Rfam family "Bacterial small subunit ribosomal RNA", at positions 28 to 524 of the family's 1533-position model. The record is from RNAcentral.
GACGAACGCUGGCGGCGUGCCUAACACAUGCAAGUCGAACGGAACUUCUUUAAAGGAUUUCUUCGGAAUGAAUUUGAUUAAGUUUAGUGGCGGACGGGUGAGUAACGCGUGAGUAACCUGCCUCUAAGAGGGGAAUAACAUUCUGAAAAGAAUGCUAAUACCGCAUAAUAUAUAUUUAUCGCAUGGUAGAUAUAUCAAAAGAUUUAUCGCUUAGAGAUGGACUCGCGUCCGAUUAGUUAGUUGGUGAGGUAACGGCGUCACCAAGACCGCGAUCGGUAGCCGGACUGAGAGGUUGAACGGCCACAUUGGGACUGAGACACGGCCCAGACUCCUACGGGAGGCAGCAGUGGGGGAUAUUGCGCAAUGGGGGAAACCCUGACGCAGCAACGCCGCGUGAAGGAUGAAGGUCUUCGGAUUGUAAACUUCUUUAUUAAGGACGAAGAAAGUGACGGUACUAAUGAAUAAGCUCGGCUAACUACGUGCCAGCAGCCGCGGUAAU